GCGCAAGCGUUGUCCGGAAUUAUUGGGCGUAAAGAGCUCGUAGGCGGUUUGUCGCGUCUGCUGUGAAAGCCCGGGGCUUAACCCCGUGGUGUGCAGUGGGUACGGGCAGACUUGAGUGCAGUAGGGGAGACUGGAAUUCCUGGUGUAGCGGUGAAAUGCGCAGAUAUCAGGAGGAACACCGAUGGCGAAGGCAGGUCUCUGGGCUGUUACUGACGCUGAGGAGCGAAAGCAUGGGGAGCGAAC
Molecule: ribosomal RNA, 243 nt
Filed under: uncultured bacterium
Lineage: Bacteria
Description: partial 16S ribosomal RNA
Rfam family: Bacterial small subunit ribosomal RNA
Source: RNAcentral